RNAcentral lists this ribosomal RNA (305 nucleotides) under uncultured bacterium. Its description in RNAcentral is "bacterial SSU rRNA". It matches the Rfam family "Bacterial small subunit ribosomal RNA", at positions 333 to 655 of the family's 1533-position model. The record is from RNAcentral.
GUGUGCCUACGGGGGGCAGCAGUAGGGAAUAUUGCUCAAUGGGGGAAACCCUGAAGCAGCAACGCCGCGUGUGGGAAGACGGUCCUCUGGAUUGUAAACCACUGUCCCCAGGGACGAAGAUGACGGUACCUGGGGAGGAAGCUCCGGCUAACUACGUGCCAGCAGCCGCGGUAAUACGUAGGGAGCGAGCGUUGUCCGGAAUUACUGGGUGUAAAGGGAGCGUAGGCGGGGAUGCAAGUUGGGUGUCAAAACUACCGGCUCAACUGGUAGUCGCACUCAAAACUGCAGCUCUUGAGUGAAGUAGG